GGAGAGUCUUCAAAAUGAUCUUCAAAGCCUCAGACCCCAGAGGCUGGGGUAGGGAGAUGAGCUGAGAGGUAAGGUGAGGAGAUCUUGAGAUGCUAUUCU
Long non-coding RNA from Dipodomys spectabilis (banner-tailed kangaroo rat), 99 nucleotides. RefSeq lists it as uncharacterized. NCBI's taxonomy places the organism in Eukaryota, Metazoa, Chordata, Mammalia, Rodentia, Heteromyidae. The transcript has 3 exons. The record is from RefSeq and is a predicted model, not a curated record.